Oryza sativa Japonica Group (Japanese rice) is the source of this 1696-nucleotide non-coding RNA. The record is from RefSeq and is a predicted model, not a curated record. NCBI's taxonomy places the organism in Eukaryota, Viridiplantae, Streptophyta, Magnoliopsida, Poales, Poaceae.
CUCCCUCUUGUGUUGUUGAGGUGCGGUGCGACUUGCGAUUGCGAGUGAGCGGCAUAUACCCUACGAAUCGAAUCGAAUUCCAAGCCCACCGCCGGCGAUGGCCAUCGCCGGCCUGCUACUCCGACCUCCUCCGUGCGUCGCCACGUGCACUCCUCCUUCCCCUUCCCUUUCCUCACAGUGGAGGAGGCGGAGGCUCACCCUCGCCCAGCCCUACUGCGCGGUCGGUCUAUCCUUCGUCUCCGGCCGCCAUCUCCGCCGCCGCCGUCGUACGGGCACUCUCCUACUACUACACCACAACCAACAAACGAUUCAUUGAUUGAUUGAUUGUAUGAUACUAAGCGAGCCUUCCUGAGUUUAUUGUUUGGAUUCAUUUCUUCCCUUCAUUCAUUGCGACUCAUAGUAUCUAGUUGCCUUUUAAUUGCACUCCUUCUUUGUGUUAUUAUCCGUCAAAAGUAUUCAUCAUAUCUUAGAUGAAAAUACCCGUAAUAGCAACUCUUGUCACAAGCUCUAUACAGUGCACAAAUUGGGCGGCAUUCAACAUUUUGUCAUUGUUCGGCAAAAUGCCCACCAUAUGCUCGGCAAAAUGCCUGGGAUCAUGUCCCUCGCAUCACCUGGCUGCUCGCCAUUCUACACUGUUUAGUUUCAUCUCAAUUCAACUCUACCCACUUCUUCUUUCGUUUCCAUAACUACCAUUCCUACGUGUCUCGGCAGUUCGAUUUCACUAACCUCAUCUACAAAUUUUCUCUUGGACUGGAAUUAGACGUCAACACACUACCAUCUUUGUAUGAAAAACAGGAAAGCUAAAGACUAGGAAAGGAAGAGAUCAGGAUUUCUUACCCAUCUAAUUUGUCUUCGCCGAUAUAACUGCCCAUCUACCUUCCUGCUUUACAUAGCUGGAUGAAGGAUAUUCCCUUUACUAUAUUUACUAUGCCUGUAUUCAUAUCGUGCUGUUCCAUAAUUCUUUGCCAAAUUAGGCAUCUCACUGCGUUUGUGUUUCUUUGACUUCUUCAAUGUAGAGAGCAAAAGAACAAGUCGUGGAACUGGUGUUUACGCUUCUUUAUUUGGAGUUGGAGCUCCCGAAGCUCUGGUUAUUGGAGUGGUUGCUCUGUUAGUCUUUGGUCUCAAAGGACUAGCAGAGGCUCGGAUGAUAAGCCUGAGGCUGCACCUUACACCAGCGAAGAACUCAUGAAAGUAAUUGAAGAACAACUAGCUGCAUCUGCAGCUGCUGCUUGGAAUACUCAAGAACCUCCUCCAUCACAGCAAAAAGAAGCAGCAGCUACUUCUGAAAGUAAUGACGGUGCUAUAUCAAGAGGGAGUGAUGGUGCUGGUGCUGCAAUGAGUGAGCCCAAUCGGAACAUUUCUGAGAAGACGGAAACCGAGAGAUGAAGCAUAACGAUGUACUACUGUAUUAAGACCGACGCAAGAACACGCUGUGGAGGUUGGAAAGAGCGGAUUAUGAUUUUUAAUUUGGGGAGCUAGGUAUGCCUGGGUUUGGGUAGGGAGUGAUUUGAGAAGUCUGAUCAGGUGUGAUGCAUAUGUGUUGCUUUGCUGUGUACUAGUACUAGAUCGAUUGUAGAAUGGACGGACAGACUGACAGGUGAUCGUCCCUCCCUUCCUCCGACCUCUAGUUUUGCUAUGGAUGAUGUUAGACCCUGUUUAUAUGUGAGUAAAAGUUUUAAGUUACUGUCACAUCGGA